RNAcentral lists this ribosomal RNA (744 nucleotides) under uncultured bacterium. RNAcentral's name for it is "bacterial SSU rRNA". It matches the Rfam family "Bacterial small subunit ribosomal RNA", at positions 8 to 796 of the family's 1533-position model. The record is from RNAcentral.
AGAGUUUGAUCAUGGCUCAGAACGAACGCUGGCGGCAGGCUUAACACAUGCAAGUCGAACGCGUGUAGCAAUACACGAGUGGCGCACGGGUGAGUAACGCGUGGAUAUCUGCCUUUUGGUUCGGAAUAACCCCGGGAAACUGGGGCUAAUACCGGAUGGUUCCUACGGGAUAAAGAUUUAUCGCCAAAAGAUGAGUCCGCGUACGAUUAGCUAGUUGGUGAGGUAAUGGCUCACCAAGGCGACGAUCGUUAGCUGGUCUGAGAGGACGAUCAGCCACACUGGGACUGAGACACGGCCCAGACUCCUACGGGAGGCAGCAGUGGGGAAUAUUGGACAAUGGGGGCAACCCUGAUCCAGCCAUGCCGCGUGAGUGAUGAAGGCCUUCGGGUUGUAAAGCUCUUUUGGCGGGGACGAUGAUGACGGUACCCGCAGAAUAAGCCCCGGCUAACUUCGUGCCAGCAGCCGCGGUAAGACGAAGGGGGCUAGCGUUGUUCGGAAUUACUGGGCGUAAAGCGAGUGUAGGUGGUUGUCAUAGUCAGGUGUGAAAGCCUUGAGCUCAACUCAAGAAAUGCACUUGAUACUGGGCGACUAGAGGACCGGAGAGGAUAGUGGAAUUCCCAGUGUAGUGGUGAAAUACGUAGAGAUUGGGAAGAACACCAGUGGCGAAGGCGGCUAUCUGGACGGUUUCUGACACUAAGACUCGAAAGCGUGGGGAGCAAACAGGAUUAGAUACCCUAGUAGUCC